Long non-coding RNA from Peromyscus eremicus (cactus mouse), 383 nucleotides. RefSeq lists it as uncharacterized. The record is from RefSeq and is a predicted model, not a curated record. The transcript has 3 exons. NCBI's taxonomy places the organism in Eukaryota, Metazoa, Chordata, Mammalia, Rodentia, Cricetidae.
UCCUCUCCCUCUCGUUAUGGUCCUGUUGUCCUGAUUUCGAUACAUCAUACUUUUCUUUUUAAUGCUGUGUCUUUUCAGCAUCCUUCAUGAGAUCAUGAUCCAGGCCCUCUCUCCCAAUGAAGCGUCCAUGUGAUUAUGUUUGAUUUAUCUGGACAAUCCAGGAUGCUUUCCCCACCUAGUCUCCUUAAUUUAAUCACAUCUGCAAGAUCUGUCUUGCCACAAAAGGACCCCAGUGAACUGAGGUGUUGAAUGAAGACAAAGAGAAUAGAGAAUGAACAGAGGACAUGUGCAGUGGAAAGCUACCGACUGAGGCCUUGUGACCAGUCCCAGGAAGGUUUCUUGAUAUUCACUCAAUAUUUACAUUUCGUGCCAAACUCUUUCCU